CUUGCCUCACGGCAGUGAGUACAUGUAUCCUGGCACAUCGAAGCUCCAGCUAGACUGGGUUCUAAUAUUGCUGAUCUCUAACAGGACACUCUUGUAAAUGAAGCAUUAUCCUCAGAGAUUUUCUUGGCUGAAAAUGUAAGUAAUUAAAAAUGUAAACAAAUAUUAUCUGUUACAUAUGCUGCAAUA
This 186-nucleotide long non-coding RNA is filed under the name Mustela putorius furo (domestic ferret). RNAcentral's name for it is "lncRNA (ENSMPUG00000030411.1)". Lineage: Eukaryota; Metazoa; Chordata; Mammalia; Carnivora; Mustelidae. The record is from RNAcentral.